GCUCGGCGAUCUCCAAUGCACCAUUCACCUGGCCUCCCUGAUCAUGCCGCAGUUGCGCAAGGAGGCGCUCCGCGGCGCAACGCCGAAUGACGGGAUAGCGAAAUCCUCAGGAAAACCAAG
RNAcentral lists this unclassified non-coding RNA (120 nucleotides) under uncultured fungus. RNAcentral describes it as "sequence contains ITS1". Lineage: Eukaryota; Fungi. The record is from RNAcentral.